RNAcentral lists this long non-coding RNA (1308 nucleotides) under Theobroma cacao (cacao). RNAcentral describes it as "long non-coding RNA (TCAC_LNC006328)". Lineage: Eukaryota; Viridiplantae; Streptophyta; Magnoliopsida; Malvales; Malvaceae. The record is from RNAcentral.
UUUUAUAUAAAACAAUAUUUAUAGAAACACGUGUAAGAAAUCUUUUGUAACGUGUAAGUAAAAUAAAUUCACACAUACAAAAAUUUACAAAGUUAUAAUGUACAAUAAUGGUUACAAUGACAAGUGGCUCAAAAUACACCUAGUGUUGGUGCUAGAAACCUACUGUCUGUGUGGUAGAGAUGUCAACUGGAAUCCUCGACAACAUAGGGUAUCUACAAGCUACCACAGACCUGAAAUGUUUGGAAAGGAGGUGGGUGAGAUUUUGCAAUCCCAAUGAGUAGACAGACAUUAUCAUAAAUAUCUAAAGGUGAGUAACAGGGAGGCAAGUUUAAACAACAAAUCACAAACCAUUUCAUAAUGUUUUCAAUUUAUUUCUUAAACCAUAAAAUAUUUGUAAUUUACCAAAACAAUUGUUAAGGCUUAUGUCUUUUAUAAAAGAAAACAAGGACCAAGCCAAAACUAAUCCUCGGGGAUACCUUGGCCGAGGCAUCUAACCGAGUCCGCCAAGGUUGUUAUAACAUUUACAUAUGAAACACAUUUUUAUUUUUAAAACAAGUCGUUCCUUGGCGUUGGCCGAGUUACACAUUCACGUGGGCGUUCGACGUGAAGUGAGCUCUAAUACUACCCUAGGAGUUACCCUCCUCGCCUCUACAAUCGGAGUAACUAUAUAAUCGGGUUUACCGCGUCCCUCUAAUAGGUAGUCCACGAAAACCCGUCACUACAGUGACUAACCCACCAAUUUUAAUAAAAUUUUGACAGUAUAACGUGGCUUUUAUUUAUUUAUCCAACCUGCAUAGUAAAAACAGCUUACAUAAAUUUCCCAAUGCACUUAUAAAAUAUAGCCACAUAUACUCAUAUAUCAUAAGCCAUUCAUAGGAAAAUAUAUAAUUUUCAAGACAAUUAACAGCCUCCAAUUACUCAAUUUCAUAAUCAACACAAUAUAUCUUUAUUUGUCACAUUUAUUUGUAAAACAUCAAAAAUCCUGUUUUAAUCUCGUUUUUAUUUCAUAAAAUACAUAAAGAGCAUUUAAAAAUAAACUCUAGAUAAUUUACAAUAAUAAUAAGUUUACUCACCGUUUGUACAAACUAAUUGCUUUUUAGGUGCCCCGAUAACUACUCGUCGUGUACGAUUUUCUUGCCUUUACCGAAAAGCUCUCCUCCUAGACACAUUGCAAAAAUUUACUCAAUUCAUCACAUUAAUGCUAAAUCACUACAUAUUUGACUUAAAUCCUAUACUAAUGCAUGGUAUGAAAUGCAAUAGACAAAAAUGGCUUAAACGCGAUAUUAACCUAUUUUUGGCACUUUACCC